RNAcentral lists this ribosomal RNA (301 nucleotides) under uncultured bacterium. RNAcentral's name for it is "partial 16S ribosomal RNA". It matches the Rfam family "Bacterial small subunit ribosomal RNA", at positions 509 to 809 of the family's 1533-position model. The record is from RNAcentral.
CAGCAGCCACGGGAAUACGUAGGGUGCAAGCGUUAAUCGGAAUUACUGGGCGUAAAGCGUGCGCAGGCGGUUAUAUAAGACAGAUGUGAAAUCCCCGGGCUCAACCUGGGAACUGCAUUUGUGACUGUAUAGCUAGAGUACGGCAGAGGGGGAUGGAAUUCCGCGUGUAGCAGUGAAAUGCGUAGAUAUGCGGAGGAACACCGAUGGCGAAGGCAAUCCCCUGGGCCUGUACUGACGCUCAUGCACGAAAGCGUGGGGAGCAAACAGGAUUAGAUACCCCUGUAGUCCCUGUCUCUUAUAU